UAUACUAUACCUUACAAAAAUAUAUUAUAAAAUACAAUAUAUGAUAAAAUAAUAUAUUAUAUAAAAUAAAUAUAUUAUAUUAUACAUAUACUUAUUUUUACUAUAAAAGUUAAAUUUAUAAGCUUACUUGUUAUAAAAAU
This 140-nucleotide unclassified non-coding RNA is filed under the name Clostridioides difficile T11. The record is from RNAcentral. RNAcentral also lists the same sequence under 1 other name. Lineage: Bacteria; Bacillati; Bacillota; Clostridia; Peptostreptococcales; Peptostreptococcaceae.